This 276-nucleotide long non-coding RNA is filed under the name Carica papaya (papaya). RNAcentral describes it as "long non-coding RNA (CPAP_LNC001016)". Lineage: Eukaryota; Viridiplantae; Streptophyta; Magnoliopsida; Brassicales; Caricaceae. The record is from RNAcentral.
GAGAGGAACCUUCGCAUCUUUUCUCCAGUAGUGGAAAAUUCCAGACCUCUGGUUUCACACUGCAAACCAGCACCCACUGCACUAGUUCAGCAGAACAAGAGACGUAAGCCAAUGACUCAAGCUCUUCCUUAAGCUCCGGUCAUAGGACGCGGUAAGACUUGUCAGCACUAUGACAAGGAUCAUUAGGAUUGCCCCUGUCAUCGUCUCAAUAAUACCUGCUGCAUAUGUGAGAAUACUCAACACUACGGGAGAGAAUGUCUGUGGCAUCAAAACUAG